AUGUUUGAUGUUCUAACGUGGACCCGUAAUCCGGGUUGCGGACAGUGUCUGGUGGGUAGUUUGACUGGGGCGGUCUCCUCCUAAAGAGUAACGGAGGAGCACGAAGGUUGGCUAAUCCUGGUCGGACAUCAGGAGGUUAGUGCAAUGGCAUAAGCCAGCUUGACUGCGAGCGUGACGGCGCGAGCAGGUGCGAAAGCAGGUCAUAGUGAUCCGGUGGUUCUGAAUGGAAGGGCCAUCGCUCAACGGAUAAAAGGUACUCCGGGGAUAACAGGCUGAUACCGCCCAAGAGUUCAUAUCGACGGCGGUGUUUGGCACCUCGAUGUCGGCUCAUCACAUCCUGGGGCUGAAGUAGGUCCCAAGGGUAUGGCUGUUCGCCAUUUAAAGUGGUACGCGAGCUGGGUUUAGAACGUCGUGAGACAGUUCGGUCCCUAUCUGCCGUGGGCGCUGGAGAACUGAGGGGGGCUGCUCCUAGUACGAGAGGACCGGAGUGGACGCAUCACUGGUGUUCGGGUUGUCAUGCCAAUGGCACUGCCCGGUAGCUAAAUGCGGAAGAGAUAAGUGCUGAAAGCAUCUAAGCACGAAACUUGCCCCGAGAUGAGUUCUCCCUGAGACUUAGAGUCUCCUGAAGGAACGUUGAAGACGACGACGUUGAUAGGCCGGGUGUGUAAGCGCAGCGAUGCGUUGAGCUAACCGGUACUAAUGAACCGUGAGGCUUAACCUUACAACGCCG
Molecule: ribosomal RNA, 730 nt
Filed under: Salmonella enterica
Lineage: Bacteria; Pseudomonadati; Pseudomonadota; Gammaproteobacteria; Enterobacterales; Enterobacteriaceae
Description: partial 23S ribosomal RNA
Rfam family: Bacterial large subunit ribosomal RNA
Source: RNAcentral